Long non-coding RNA from Anolis carolinensis (green anole), 2054 nucleotides. RefSeq lists it as uncharacterized. The transcript has 2 exons. The record is from RefSeq and is a predicted model, not a curated record. Lineage: Eukaryota; Metazoa; Chordata; Lepidosauria; Squamata; Anolidae.
UAUUAUUAUCAUUAUUAUUAUUAUUAUUAUUAUUAUCCACACUUGCCUCAAGCAGACAAGAGUUCUUUCCCUCACUCUGGACCUUCCACAGAUAUUUAAACCCCACUUGCCUAGUUCCCAACAGACCUCACAACUUUUGAGGAUGCCUGCCACAGAUGUGGGCAAAACGUCAGGAGAUAAUGCUUCUGGAAAAUUGCCAUACAGCCCUAAAGACUCAGAGCAACUCAGAAAUAUUCACAUUUGCCUCAAGCAGACAAGAGUUCUUUCUCCCACCCUGGACCUUCCACAGAUAUAUAAACCUCCCUUGCCUUCUUUCCAAUACACCUCCCAACCUCUGAGGAUGCCUGCCACAGAUGUGGGCAAAACGUCAGGAGAGAAUGCUUCUGAAACGUGGCCAUACAGCCCGGAAAACUCACAAAAACCCACUGUGACAGUCCUCAUUGGCCAUUCCGGCCUACUUUCCCGCUCUUAAGUGGAGAAGCCUGCCAAAGAGUAGAGCGUCGUCAGAAGUAGGACGCCUUUCUUCACCUUCCACUGGGACUUCAAAUCCCAGAGGCCUUUGCCAGUGUGGCCAAUUUGCAGGGAUUCUGGGAGCUGAAGUCCAAAAGGAGGAGCCAAACCCUAGAAGGACGGCGCUGCCUUGUCCACUGCGAUAUAAAAUGACACGUUGUCUUUCCUGUAGUAAUCCUCGAGGAGGAUUGGGCGGAGCAAUGGGUUAAACCCUUGUGCCAGCAGAACUGCUGAUCUGAAGAUCUAAAGGUCAGCAAUUUGAAUCCACAAGACAGGUUGAGCUCCAUUCUGCCAGCCCCAGCUUCCUUGAGGGCACAUGAGAGAAGCCUCCCACAGGAUGGUAACACAUCCAGGCAUCUCCUGGCAACGUCUCUGUAGACGGCUGAUUCCCUCACAUCAAAAGCGAUUUGCAGUACUGUAUAUUUUCAACUCACUUGACACGAUAAAAAAAACAGUAAUCCUCUAUGUUCUGAAUUCUCACAUGGGUGAGUGUACACAGGACUCCUAGUUAAGAAUGGGGCUGAGACAACAGGAAGUGAAAGAAAUCUUCCAAUUGGAAGGGAAAUUUACUCCUGAAAGAGUUAUUACCAUGGGGAAGAGAUGUCUCCACUGAAGCUUUAUCACAAAUCCUUGUUUCCACAACAAGCCACAUUUUUGAAAAUCAAAUUAUCACAGAGAUACAAAGUGAGGUGGAAUCUUAUGAAAAGCAAAACAAAUACCACAGGGAUGUUAACCCUUCCCUAUGCUAUCCAUAGCUAAAAGAUAUGUAUGUAUGUAUGGCUGGAAUUACACUUCAAAAAUGUACCUGUUCCAACUGGUAUACAAAUUCAAUUUAAGAACAAAUCUACAGAACCUAUCUUGUUCGUAACUUAGGGACUGGCUGUAUUCUCUGCUCAUACUGGUUUUUUCCCCUUUCAAUUAAAAAUGAGAAACCUUGUAAUUGUAGAAGUCCGAAAUCUAAAAAGGGGGAAAGUAUAGCAACAGCUAAGUGUUGAUAUCUCAAAAUUGUGCAAUUCCCGAAGAAUAAAUUAUUUUUUAAAAAAAUUACCGUACAAGAAUCACGCAAGAGGAUUACUGCCAGGAAAAGGAGCAUUGAGGCUCCCCACGGGAACACCCUCUCUGCAAUAUCACUAAAGUGAUCUAAGACUGGAGAAGCUGACAUUCCAUCCCACGUUACAUUAAACACCUUCAACUGUUUCCUUAAGAAUUGGGAGCUCUGAAGAUUUUUGCUCCCCAACUUCAUAAUCCUCAUUUUCUACACACUUUUGAAACAGUUUACAUACAGAAGUAGCCUUACGUCAUAUGAUGGCCUCCGUGGGACUCCGUCUGUAAAAGUGUGUAGAAAUGAGAGCUGGAUGGCUAUCUGUCGGAGAUGCUUUGAUUGUGUGUGCCUCCAUGGUAGAAUAGGGUUGGACCUUUUAGUCUCUUCCAACUCUGUGAUUCUAUGUUUUCAGCGUCAAGUCAUACCCCACCCAUCCCUUCUGUUCAACACCUUUCCUGGGAAAAUUUUGAGGUCAAACUAAAAACAUUUUUGUGCUCUUUCA